CCUGAGAAACGGCUACCACAUCCAAGGAAGGCAGCAGGCACGCAAAUUACCCACUCCCAGCACGGGGAGGUAGUGACGAUAAAUAACGAUCCGGGACUCUUUAGAGUUUCCGUAAUCGGAAUGAGUACAGUUUAGGUCCUUUAACGAGGAACAAGUGGAGGGCAAGUCUGGUGCCAGCAGCCGCGGUAAUUCCAGCUCCAUUAGUAUAUAUUAAAGUUGUUGCGGUUAAAAAGCUCGUAGUUGAAUCUGUAUCCCAUACUGUCAAUCGUUCGUAAUUUAAUUUGCGUGGUUUGACAUUUUUUGUAUGGGAUAUGCACGCUGGCGGGUUACCGGUACGUGUCGGUAAGCCGUGUACAAUAAAACGGCACACUGCUGCGUUGCCUUUGCGCAAGUGCACGUUGCGCACUUUGCGUGUGAACGGAUGCUUGCGCAUUGUACGGCAACGUGUGUGCCGUGUGCGCACACCGAUCGUCAGUGUCCCGAUGGCGACGGAUUCGAUUAGCUUCGAACUCGUAUCGCAUUCUGAUCGAAACUCGUGCCCGAUCGUCUCGUGUGCCGGCUUCGUUGUGUGCACACGUGACCGUGCACAAAACUCUGUCAGGCCAGCGAUAUUACUUUGAACAAAUUAGAGUGCUUAAAGCAGGCAAAUUUAUAUGCCUUGAAUAUCGCAGCAUGGAAUAAUAGAAUAUGAUCUCGGUACCGUUUUCGUUUGAAAUUGGCUUAAAGGGCUAGAUAAAACCGGAAACGUGUUCGGAUGCUCGGGCACGGUACCGGGCACAUCGACGCCUAGUGUGCACUCCGUCGACGCAUAACGGAACGCGUGUGCAAUUCGUAUCUACGUACGCCUAGUGCUGCGAAUACGAGCGCUCGCGUGCCGGUCCGAAUGCGGAGCACCGGCGUCACUAAAAUGGUGUGCAUCGUUUAGUAUCGUGUGUGCCCGAUGCAACUCGAAUUAUUUAGCUCGACGGUAUAUCGAGAUAAUGAUUAAUAGAGACGGAUGGGGGCAUUCGUACUACGACGCUAGAGGUGAAAUUCUUGGACCGUCGUAAGACGAACUGAAGCGAAAGCGUUUGUCAAAAACGUUUUCAUUGAUCAAGAACGAAAGUUAGAGGUUCGAAGGCGAUCAGAUACCGCCCUAGUUCUAACCAUAAACGAUGCCGACUAGCGAUCCGUCGAUGUUCAUUUAAAUUGACUCGACGGGCAGCUUCCGGGAAACCAAAGUUUUUGGGUUCCGGGGGAAGUAUGGUUGCAAAGCUGAAACUUAAAGGAAUUGACGGAAGGGCACCACCAGGAGUGGAGCUUGCGGCUUAAUUUGACUCAACACGGGAAAUCUCACCAGGCCCGGACACCGAAAGGAUUGACAGAUUAAUAGCUCUUUCUUGAUUCGGUGGGUGGUGGUGCAUGGCCGUUCUUAGUUGGUGGAGCGAUUUGUCUGGUUAAUUCCGAUAACGAACGAGACUC
This 1461-nucleotide ribosomal RNA is filed under the name Triozocera mexicana. RNAcentral describes it as "SSU rRNA". It matches the Rfam family "Eukaryotic small subunit ribosomal RNA", at positions 395 to 1343 of the family's 1831-position model. The record is from RNAcentral. Lineage: Eukaryota; Metazoa; Arthropoda; Insecta; Strepsiptera; Corioxenidae.